CUCCCACUAGUGUAUGCCUUAAUGGUGCCACUCUUGUCUGCGUCUACGCUUGGGGCCUUGGCUUCUGACUUGGAGAGUGUACAGCUCUGCCCGACGGCAACCCAGCUUGGGAAGAGAAGCCCCAGCGUGGGCUGGGGCUCAAGGCGCAGGAAGGCCGAGCCCGGCGCGGACACAGGCGGCUCCGGGCGGGCUCAGCACCCCCAGGCACCGUCUCCUAGUGACCGCGGCGCUCGCGGGCCUGGCGGCCGUUGUCCGGGCGACUGCGCAGCGCGGGCACCCCCGCGGCCCCUCCCCUGGGCGCGCGCGCGACCUGGGUGCCAUGGCGGCGGCGGCGGUGACAGGCCAGCGGCCUGAGACCGCGGCGGCCGAGGAGGCCUCGAGGCCGCAGUGGGCGCCGCCAGACCACUGCCAGGCUCAGGCGGCGGCCGGGCUGGGCGACGGCGAGGACGCACCGGUGCGUCCGCUGUGCAAGCCCCGCGGCAUCUGCUCGCGCGCCUACUUCCUGGUGCUGAUGGUGUUCGUGCACCUGUACCUGGGUAACGUGCUGGCGCUGCUGCUCUUCGUGCACUACAGCAACGGCGACGAAAGCAGCGAUCCCGGGCCCCAACACCGUGCCCAGGGCCCCGGGCCCGAGCCCACCUUAGGUCCCCUCACCCGGCUGGAGGGCAUCAAGGUGAGGACCUCCCUGCCCCGCCGCGCUCCAGGCCCUGCACGGCUGAGCCCGAGAGGACCGGCGCUCAGCCCGGGUCCCCACGCUGCCCCCGGCGCUGCUCUGCGUCGGUCCCGCGCGCUCCCACUCACUCGCCUGCUGUCGCGCUCCGGGCCGGGGCGACUUGGCCCUUCUUGGGCAGCGCGGUCUGGCGCCCCAGCUGUCCGCUGUGCGCCUUUUCCUUAGGUGGGGCACGAGCGUAAGGUCCAGCUGGUCACCGACAGGGAUCACUUCAUCCGAACCCUCAGCCUCAAGCCGCUGCUCUUCGAAAUCCCCGGCUUCCUGACUGAUGAAGAGUGUCGGCUCAUCAUCCAUCUGGCGCAGAUGAAGGGGUUACAGCGCAGCCAGAUCCUGCCUACUGAAGAGUAUGAAGAGGCAAUGAGCACUAUGCAGGUCAGCCAGCUGGACCUCUUCCGGCUGCUGGACCAGAACCGUGAUGGGCAUCUGCAGCUCCGUGAGGUUCUGGCCCAGACUCGCCUGGGAAAUGGAUGGUGGAUGACUCCAGAGAGCAUUCAGGAGAUGUACGCCGCGAUCAAGGCUGACCCUGAUGGUGACGGUGAGCUCACACCUCUGCACAGUCCUAUCCCCGUGAGCCUCCUGCCCACUCCCAGGUGCACAAUUUUGAAAACUUGGGCCCUUCCCCCACAGCCAGGCAGCCUCUCUGCACCCCUUUAUAGUGACCAGAGAUGGGGAGGCGAAGAUCCAGCCUUGCUUUUUACCCCUGGGAAGUAGGCAGGCAGCCAGGCCCCCUGUUCCCCUUGGUGAUGGUCUUGAGGGCAGUUCUUGGAGACCCUUUUGAUAACAUCAGGCAGAGUUGAGAGCCUGGGGACAGGAAGUAGGGCUGCUAGUUGGCAGAGAACAGAGUGGGUGGAGCAGGAGCAAGGCGACAGUGAGGCCAGCUAGAGCUUGGCUGUUUACCCUGCUCCAUCCAUCUCUCCAGCCAGACACGAGGUCCACCCCAGCAGACAGCUUCCCUGGUCUAAGUGAGAUCUCCCUUGCCUUCCUCUUGUCCACCUGGAGUCAUGCCGAAGCGCCUAAAAUGGUAGUGCUGCUAACUGUGCUAACUGCUGGGGAGGGGUGGGCAGGGAAGCUGUCAUGCAAGUGGUGCCCCCUCUGGUAAUAACUCUCAGGAGGUUUCUGAGGUGUGAUCAUCACCCUCAUGCCCAAAUUCUGGACCAAGAGAGGAAGAUACAGCAGUUAGAAAGGACUUGGAAGAGUGGCUUUGCGGCUGGUGAACCAGAGUGAAGAAUCUGGCCAUGACCUGUGGCUGGAUGGCUGCCACACUGCUACAGGCCCCAGAACAGAGGUGGUGACAGUCUCACAGCCCUUGAAUGUCCCCCACCCUCAGAGGAAUCUGGGCCAAAGAGUGGAAGGUGACGUCCUUGGGUCAGCCAGAAUAACAUGGAGCAAAGAUACCAACUACUCUUCCAGAACCCCAAGAGGGUAGAACCCCUGCUUAAUGGUUUGAGCAGGGACAGUGGAGAAUGUUCUCAUGAGAGGGGGUGGCCUGACUUUCGUUGCUAAGGUGGGCUGGUAACGCAGUAGGCAGGGCUAGCGAAGUAGGUUCCACCCAGGAUGAGACCUGGGGUCAUGAGGAACUCCCCGGGGGCUGGCCCUGCUUGCACCCUGGCGUAUGUAUGUAAGGCCCUGGAUGAGGCCCAGCACUGCCUGCUCUCUCCUCACCCUCCACAGGCCGGAGAGUGGCCACCACUCUAUAUAGCCAGGCUGGAAGGCCAGGGCCCUGGCCAUAUGGCUCAAGCUUCCUUUGGAGAACCUUCUCUGGCCACUCUAAUAGGGGGUGGGCCUCUCUUCUUAGGGCCAAAUUAGGGCUUAAACUGAGAAAAGGAACUGCUCUGGGUCUUCCUGUAAGGCCUGAUGUGACAGAAACCAGGUUCAUCUGACCCAAAAGUCCAGGUGGGGGACAAGUGUACAAGGCCCCUCAGUGCCUGAGGUCAGGGGCUGCUGCUGCCUUUGGGGUAGGUAGGGAAGUGCAGCCUGCCACUGUUGCCUCCCAAUAUGGGCUUGGCGGGCAUUGAUGGUGGGUGCCCUGUGCAGGAGUGCUGAGUCUGCAGGAGUUCUCCAACAUGGACCUUCGGGACUUCCACAAGUACAUGAGGAGCCACAAGGCAGAGUCCAGUGAGCUGGUGCGGAACAGCCACCAUACCUGGCUCUACCAGGGUGAGGGUGCCCACCACGUCAUGCGUGCCAUCCGCCAGAGGUGAGCACCUGAAGCUGUUCUCACUGGAGCAGGGGGAGAAGACUGGGCAGGGCUUCCACAGAAGUCCUUGUCUGGGGCCAAGAGGACAGAAUGGAUUAACCCAUUUGGGAUUAAGUUCCAUUUGUUAGACCAGGAUUGGGACCCACUGAAAGACAGGCAAUUAACAAAGGCAAAUUAGCCCUCCUUGCAGGCACACAAUGGGCAACUGGGAUUAGAGAUUGAGCACUUCUUUCUGAUUAGAUAAAUGACCCCUUAUCUUUGACCCCUUAUCUGACCCCGUCACAGCAGGAAAAGGGUUUUUAAAUAAACAACUUUCUUCCAGGGAGGAGGACCUCAGGACUCCCUGCCCCCUUUAUUUAGUGGAAAUGUCAACAUUUCCACAUAGCAGGUGUCUCUGUCUUUGGCAUCUGAGGGAGAAGGAUCAUCAUGAGUAACCCCCUCCUGCUCUUACAGGGCCAGUCUGAGAUGGCUUAAGGGACUUCCAGGGGAGGUGGGUAGGGGCAGAGCUUGUGGCAGGCCUAGGGUCCACCUUGGCCAGCUCCUUCAGAUCACCACCUUGCCUGGGGCUGCCCAGCCAAAUGCCUGCUGCCCACCAGGGUGCUGCGCCUCACUCGCCUGUCGCCUGAGAUCGUGGAGCUCAGCGAGCCGCUGCAGGUUGUUCGAUAUGGUGAGGGGGGCCACUACCAUGCCCACGUGGACAGUGGGCCUGUGUACCCAGAGACCAUCUGCUCCCAUACCAAGCUGGUAGCCAACGAGUCUGUACCCUUCGAGACCUCCUGCCGGCAAGUAUCUCCCAACUGGGGGCUGCCUUCAAACCUCAGACCAGGAACACCCAUGACACAGGCGCAGCCCUGCACUGUGGGCGUGCCCCUUGGCAUGGGGCCAGGAGAUCACUGGGUUAUCCCGGUUAGUGAUGCCCUCACCUCUCCCCACAAGUUGUUUACCCAAUGGCUGGAAAGGGGUGGCCACUGGCCAUCGUGACCACUGGAGUCAACACAGACUGAAGUACCCACAGACACCAAAACUUGCCCCCGGAGUUCUGAAGCAAGGGGCAAGGCUGGGCCCCUAGCUUGUCCUGCCCAUUCCUCCAGGUGUUGAUCUUGAUUCCACUUAGAGAAGCUGAAGCUGUGCCUCCCUCCCCUGUCAAGGCAGUUCUUUCCUCUUCAGGUGGCUGUUCUGGCCCAGCCCCUUCCCAUCCCCAAGGAGUCCUUCAGCGCGCCCUGUUGCUUCUGCUAGCCUACCUUUCCCUGCCAGGCCCUUGCUCGGGGCCAUGGCAUUUAACUGAGUGCACCUGUGAUCUUGGCCAAAAAACCAUUGCAACUCACAGUAAGAGACUGGGUUUCGGGGAAGGAGGGGCUAGGGACAUUUUGGCACUGGCCUGCCCUAUUGUCUCCCAUCCUAGUCUGUCCUGGUCCCUGGCAACAGGAACCUGGGCAGCUUAUCCUGCCCACAGGUAAGCCCCUGGGAGCAUCCACAACUGGGGACCUGCUCAGUGGCCCCCCUGCCUUACAGCUACAUGACAGUGCUGUUUUAUUUGAACAACGUCACUGGUGGGGGCGAGACUGUUUUCCCUGUAGCAGAUAACAGAACCUACGAUGAAAUGGUAAGGGUCAACUGGGCUAUUACUCUUGUGGGCUGGCAGGGGCUUAGACAAGUGAAGUACACACCUCUCCAGGUCUAAGGAUGUGGGCCCAAAUUAUUCCUUGGGCAUAUCUGGUUGGUUUCCCUUUGGUCACCCUUGGCUGGCCUGGCCAUAGAGUGGGGACAGGUUGAACACCCCACCACCCUGCUGCCCACAGAGUCUGAUUCAGGAUGACGUGGACCUCCGUGACACACGGAGGCACUGUGACAAGGGAAACCUGCGUGUCAAGCCCCGACAGGGCACAGCAGUCUUCUGGUACAACUACCUGCCUGAUGGGCAAGGUUGGGUGGGUGACGUAGACGACUACUCGCUGCACGGGGGCUGCCUGGUCACGCGCGGCACCAAGUGGAUUGCCAACAACUGGAUUAAUGUGGACCCCAGCCGAGCGCGGCAAGCGCUGUUCCAACAGGAGAUGGCCCGCCUUGCCAGAGAAGGGGGCACCGACUCACAGCCCGAGUGGGCUCUGGACCGGGCCUACCGCGAUGCGCGCGUGGAACUCUGAGGGAAGAGUUAGCCCCGGUUCCCAGCCGCGGGUCGCCAGUUGCCCAAGAUCGGGGGUCCGGCUGUCCUUCUGUCCUGUUGCAGACUAAAGGUCUGGCCAAUGUCUUGCCCCACCCCGCCAGCCGCGAUACGGCGCAGUUCCUAUAUUCAUGUUAUUUAUUGUGUACUGACCCCAUCUGCCCCGUCAAAUAAAAAAACCACAAGGUUCGA
Molecule: small RNA, 5280 nt
Filed under: Pan troglodytes (chimpanzee)
Lineage: Eukaryota; Metazoa; Chordata; Mammalia; Primates; Hominidae
Description: retained intron
Source: RNAcentral